This 76-nucleotide transfer RNA is filed under the name Iocasia frigidifontis. RNAcentral's name for it is "Halanaerobiaceae bacterium NS-1 tRNA-Thr". It matches the Rfam family "tRNA". Rfam says of the family: Transfer RNA (tRNA) molecules are approximately 80 nucleotides in length. Their secondary structure includes four short double-helical elements and three loops (D, anti-codon, and T loops). Further hydrogen bonds mediate the characteristic L-shaped molecular structure. tRNAs have two regions of fundamental functional importance: the anti-codon, which is responsible for specific mRNA codon recognition, and the 3' end, to which the tRNAs corresponding amino acid is attached (by aminoacyl-tRNA synthetases). tRNAs cope with the degeneracy of the genetic code in two manners: having more than one tRNA (with a specific anti-codon) for a particular amino acid; and 'wobble' base-pairing, i.e. permitting non-standard base-pairing at the 3rd anti-codon position. Lineage: Bacteria; Bacillati; Bacillota; Clostridia; Halanaerobiales; Halanaerobiaceae. The record is from RNAcentral.
GCCGGUGUAGCUCAAUUGGUAGAGCAGCUGAAUCGUAAUCAGCAGGCUAGGGGUUCAAGUCCCCUUGCCGGCUCCA